GCAGAUUCAUAUUGAGUCUGUGAUCUACUGGGACUCCCGCAUCCUUCUCCAUAAUGCUGCCAUCUUGCCAGGUGUCACCCAUUUUGUAUUUGUGUUUUUUAUUAUUCUUUCUGAGGUGUAGCACCUUUCACUUGUCAGCACUGAACGUCAUCCUUUUAGCUUCAGCCCAGCUUUCAAAUCUAUCAAGUUUGACACAUGGCAA
This is a long non-coding RNA of Gavialis gangeticus (Gharial), 202 nucleotides long. RefSeq lists it as uncharacterized. NCBI's taxonomy places the organism in Eukaryota, Metazoa, Chordata, Crocodylia, Gavialidae. The transcript has 3 exons. The record is from RefSeq and is a predicted model, not a curated record.